GACGAACCGUGCAAACGUUGUUCGGAAUCACUGGGCUUAAAGGGCGCGUAGGCGGGUCGGUACGUCGGUCGCUGAAAUCCCCCGGCUUAACCGGGGACGUGGCACCGAUACGGCCGACCUGGAGGCGAGGAGGGGGACCUGGAACGUCCGGUGGAGCGGUGAAAUGCGUUGAGAUCGGACGGAACGCCGACGGCGAAAGCAAGGUCCUGGACUCGUACUGACGCUGAGGCGCGAAAGCCAGGGGAGCGAA
This 250-nucleotide ribosomal RNA is filed under the name uncultured bacterium. RNAcentral's name for it is "partial 16S ribosomal RNA". It matches the Rfam family "Bacterial small subunit ribosomal RNA", at positions 524 to 772 of the family's 1533-position model. The record is from RNAcentral.